Molecule: small RNA, 119 nt
Filed under: Marmota monax (woodchuck)
Lineage: Eukaryota; Metazoa; Chordata; Mammalia; Rodentia; Sciuridae
Source: RNAcentral
GCUGGGCAUGGAGACACAUGCCUGUAAUCCCAGCAGCUCAGGAGGCUGAGGCAGGAGAUCGCGAGUUCAAAGCCAGCCUCAGCAAAAGCACUAAGCAAUUCAGUGAGACCCUGUCUCUA